Molecule: ribosomal RNA, 429 nt
Filed under: uncultured bacterium
Lineage: Bacteria
Description: bacterial SSU rRNA
Rfam family: Bacterial small subunit ribosomal RNA
Source: RNAcentral
UAGGGAAUCUUCCACAAUGGGUGAAAACCUGAUGGAGCAAUGCCGCGUGAAUGAAGAAGGUCUUCGGAUCGUAAAGUUCUGUUAUUAGAGAAGAACAAGUCAAGGAGUAACUGUCUUGACUUUGACGGUACCUAACCAGAAAGUCCCGGCUAACUACGUGCCAGCCGCCGCGGUAAUACGUAGGUGACAAGCGUUGUCCGGAAUUAUUGGGCGUAAAGGGAGCGCAGGCGGUUGGAAUAGUCUGAUGUGAAAGCCCACGACUUAACCGUGGAAGGUCAUUGGAAACUGUCCAACUUGAAUACAGAAGAGGUAAGUGGAAUUCCAAGUGUAGCGGUGAAAUGCGUAGAUAUUUGGAGGAACACCAGUGGCGAAGGCGACUUACUGGUCUGUAAUUGACGCUGAGGCUCGAAAGCGUGGGUAGCAAACAGG